RNAcentral lists this long non-coding RNA (487 nucleotides) under Ananas comosus (pineapple). Its description in RNAcentral is "long non-coding RNA (ACOM_LNC021647)". The record is from RNAcentral. Lineage: Eukaryota; Viridiplantae; Streptophyta; Magnoliopsida; Poales; Bromeliaceae.
CAAUGCGCUUUACGGAUUUUGCUUUCACGCAUGAUUUCAUCACAUUCAAGGUUCCUUUGCUUGCAGGUUUGAUUAGCUCUUCCUGUUAUCACCAGCAUCAUCAUCAUCAGGCAGAAAAAGAGAGAAAGCCAAAACCAAGAUGAAUGGUAACUACAAAUCUCUAGUUCAGAUUCAAGACAAAACUGCAGGCCAACUCACAGCCCUUGUCUAUAACGGAGCGCAAAUUCGUAAACAAACUGAAAACGUAUUUGAACUCCCUUCGGAAAUUCAAAAGAGAUCAAAUCACAAAGCCCCAUUGACUUUACCGAAAGAAAUUUGCGAACUUCCGUGUAACUGCAAUUUGUCUCACUGAGUUUCAUUUGCUUCAGGUCUGCUAUACAGGAAGAAAUUAUUGAAAGAUACGGAGCGCAAGUGACGACGAGUUUUACCUCAGGGUUCUCAGAGAAUGCAUUCACCGGAGCGGCUACGAGGAAGACGUACUCACAAC